RNAcentral lists this ribosomal RNA (253 nucleotides) under uncultured bacterium. RNAcentral describes it as "partial 16S ribosomal RNA". It matches the Rfam family "Bacterial small subunit ribosomal RNA", at positions 524 to 776 of the family's 1533-position model. The record is from RNAcentral.
UACGUAGGGGGCAAGCGUUGUCCGGAAUUAUUGGGCGUAAAGAGCUCGUAGGCGGUUUGUCGCGUCUGCUGUGAAAACUCGGGGCUUAACCCCGGGCCUGCAGUGGGUACGGGCAGACUAGAGUUCGGUAGGGGAGUCUGGAAUUCCUGGUGUAGCGGUGAAAUGCGCAGAUAUCAGGAGGAACACCGGUGGCGAAGGCGGGACUCUGGGCCGAUACUGACGCUGAGGAGCGAAAGCGUGGGGAGCAAACAGG